This 876-nucleotide ribosomal RNA is filed under the name uncultured archaeon. Its description in RNAcentral is "bacterial SSU rRNA". It matches the Rfam family "Archaeal small subunit ribosomal RNA", at positions 31 to 913 of the family's 1478-position model. The record is from RNAcentral.
UAUCGGAUUGAUACUAAGCCAUGUGAGUCAUUGUAGCAAUACAAGGCAUACGGCUCAGUAACGCGUAGUCAACCUAACCUAUGGACGGGAAUAACCUCGGGAAACUGAGAAUAAUGCCCGAUAGAACAUUAUGCCUGGAAUGGUUUAUGUUCCAAAUGAUUUAUCGCCGUAGGAUGGGACUGCGGCCUAUCAGUUUGUUGGUGAGGUAAUGGCCCACCAAGACUAUUACAGGUACGGGCUCUGAGAGGAGUAGCCCGGAGAUGGGUACUGAGACACGGACCCAGGCCCUAUGGGGCGCAGCAGGCGAGAAAACUUUGCAAUGUGCGAAAGCACGACAAGGUUAAUCCGAGUGGUUUCUGCUAAAGGAACCUUUUGUCAGUCCUAGAAACACUGAUGAAUAAGGGGUGGGCAAGUUCUGGUGUCAGCCGCCGCGGUAAAACCAGCACCUCAAGUGGUCAGGAUGAUUAUUGGGCCUAAAGCAUCCGUAGCCGGCUCUGUAAGUUUUCGGUUAAAUCUGUACGCUCAACGUACAGGCUGCCGGGAAUACUGCAAAGCUAGGGAGUGGGAGAGGUAGACGGUACUCGGUAGGAAGGGGUAAAAUCCUUUGAUCUAUUGAUGACCACCUGUGGCGAAGGCGGUCUACCAGAACACGUCCGACGGUGAGGGAUGAAAGCUGGGGGAGCAAACCGGAUUAGAUACCCGGGUAGUCCCAGCUGUAAACCAUGCAAACUCAGUGAUGCAUUGGCUUGUGGCCAAUGCAGUGCUGCAGGGAAGCCGUUAAGUUUGCCGCCUGGGAAGUACGUACGCAAGUAUGAAACUUAAAGGAAUUGGCGGGGGAGCACCACAAGGGGUGAAGCCUGCGGUUCAAUUGGAGUC